This 497-nucleotide ribosomal RNA is filed under the name uncultured bacterium. RNAcentral describes it as "partial 16S ribosomal RNA". It matches the Rfam family "Bacterial small subunit ribosomal RNA", at positions 28 to 507 of the family's 1533-position model. The record is from RNAcentral.
GACGAACGCUGGCGGCGUGCUUAAUACAUGCAAGUCGAGCGAACGGACGAGAAGCUUGCUUCUCUGAUGUUAGCGGAGGACGGGUGAGUAACACGUGGAUAAUCUACUUAUAAGACUGGGAUAAUUUCGGGAAACCGGAGCUAAUACCGGAUAAUAUUUUGAACCGCAUGGUUCAAAAGUGAAAGACGGUCUUGCUGUCACUUAUCGAUGAUUCCCCGCUGAUUUAGCUGGUGGGUAGGGUAACGGCUUACAAAGGCAAGGAUGCAUAGCCGACCUGAGAGGGUGAUCGGCCACACUGGAGCUGAGACGCGGUCCAGGCUCCUGCGAGAGGCAGCAGUAGGGAAUCUUCCGCAAUGGGCGGAAGCCUGACGGAGCAACGCCGCGUGAGUGAUGAAGGUCUUCGGAUCGUAAAACUCUGUUAUUAGGGAAGAACAUAUGUGUAAGUAACUGUGCACAGCUUGACGGUACCUAAUCAGAAAGCCACGGCUAACUACGUG